This 23-nucleotide microRNA is filed under the name Dasypus novemcinctus (nine-banded armadillo). RNAcentral describes it as "dno-miR-224-5p". Its record names the gene dno-miR-224-5p. The record is from miRBase by way of RNAcentral. Lineage: Eukaryota; Metazoa; Chordata; Mammalia; Cingulata; Dasypodidae.
CAAGUCACUUGUCUACCAUUAGU